RNAcentral lists this ribosomal RNA (2064 nucleotides) under Pseudomonocelis ophiocephala. Its description in RNAcentral is "SSU rRNA". It matches the Rfam family "Eukaryotic small subunit ribosomal RNA". Lineage: Eukaryota; Metazoa; Platyhelminthes; Proseriata; Monocelididae. The record is from RNAcentral.
CUGGUUGAUCCUGCCAGUAGUCAUAUGCUUGUCUCAAAGAUUAAGCCAUGCAUGUCUAAGUACAAAUUGUGGUAAAAUGAAACUGCGAAUGGCUCAUUAAAUCAGCUACGGGUUCACUGGGUAAACCACAGUUACUUGGAUAACUGUGGUAAUUCUAGAGCUAAUACAUGCAAUUAUGCCCGCGCCUCACGGCAAGGGUGCUCUUAUUAGAUCAAAACCAACCUGGCUUCGGCUAGAAGUUUUGAUGACUCUGGAUAAUUGGGAGAUCGCAGGACUCAAUGUCGGCGACUCACCCUUCAAAAGUCUGCCCUAUCAACUAUAGAUGGUAUAUAACCUGUGUACCAUGGUGUUCACGGGUAACGGGGAAUCAGGGUUCGAUUCCGGAGAGGGAGCCUGAGAAACAGCUACCACAUCCAAGGAAGGCAGCAGGCGCGCAAAUUACCCACUCUCAAAACGAGGAGGUAGUGACAAAAAAUAACGAUGCGGGACUCAAUCGAGGCCCCGUAAUCGGAAUGAGUACAAUUUAAAUCCUUUAACGAGGAUCAAUUGGAGGGCAAGUCUGGUGCCAGCAGCCGCGGUAAUUCCAGCUCCAAUAGCGUAUAUUAAAGUUGUUGCAGUUAAAAAGCUCGUAGUUGGAUCUAAGGAUUUGAACUAACGGUUUGCCUUAUGGUGAUACUGUUGGAUCUGCCUAAAAAUGUCGUGGAGGCUAUUAGUGUUCUUAAUUGAGUGCUUUUAGUGCCCGACGCUAUUACUUUGAGAAAAUUAGAGUGCUUAAAGCAGGCAUAAUGCUUGUAUACUGUUGCAUGGAAUAAUAAAAUAUGAGUUUGCUUUUAUUUUGUUGGUAUUCGGAAGUGAACUAAUGAUUGACGGGGACAGUCAGGGGCAUUUGUAUGGAGGGGCUAGAGGUGAAAUUCUGUGACCCUCUCCAGACAAUCUACUGCGAAAGCAUUUGCCAGGAAUGUUUUCAUUAAUCAAGAACGAAAGUCAGAGGUUCGAAGACGAUCAGAUACCGUCCUAGUUCUUUAGAGUGCUUAAAGCAGGCAUAAUGCUUGUAUACUGUUGCAUGGAAUAAUAAAAUAUGAGUUUGCUUUUAUUUUGUUGGUAUUCGGAAGUGAACUAAUGAUUGACGGGGACAGUCAGGGGCAUUUGUAUGGAGGGGCUAGAGGUGAAAUUCUGUGACCCUCUCCAGACAAUCUACUGCGAAAGCAUUUGCCAGGAAUGUUUUCAUUAAUCAAGAACGAAAGUCAGAGGUUCGAAGACGAUCAGAUACCGUCCUAGUUCUGACCAUAAAUGAUGCCAUCUAGCAAUUCCCGGAGUUUGCUAGUACGAACUUGGGAGCGGCCCCCGGGAAACCAAAGACUUUGGGUUCCGGGGGAAGUAUGGUUGCAAAGCUGAAACUUAAAGGAAUUGACGGAAGGGCACCACCAGGAGUGGAGCCUGCGGCUUAAUUUGACUCAACACGGGAAACCUCACCCGGCCCGGACACUGUUAUGAUUGACAGAUUAACAGCUCUUUCUUGAUUUAGUGGUUGGUGGUGCAUGGCCGUUCUUAGUUGGUGGAGUGAUUUGUCUGGUUAAUUCCGAUAACGAACGAGACUCUAACCUGCUAAAUAGUAUGUUUAUAUUAUAAAGUGAACAAUGACUUCUUAGAGGGACUAAUGGCGUUUAGUCAUGUGAGAAAGAGCAAUAACAGGUCUGUGAUGCCCUUAGAUGUUCGGGGCCGCACGCGCGCUACACUAACUGAAGCAACGGGUAUCAUCCUGGUUAGAAAUGACUGGGUAACCCGCUUAAAUCUCAGUUGUGACUGGGAUCGAGGUUUGCAAUUAUCUCUCGUGAACGAGGAAUUCCGAGUAAGCGCAAGUCAUUAGCUUGCGCUGAUUACGUCCCUGCCCUUUGUACACACCGCCCGUCGCUACUACCGAUUGAACGGUUUAGUGAGAAUUUUGGAUUGGCUUCGUUGAGGCGGCCCUUCACGGGGCUGCUUCGGCUGGGCUGAGAAGAUGUUCAAACUUGAUCGUUUAGAGGAAGUAAAAGUCGUAACAAGGUUGCCGUAGGUGAACCUGCA